GAUGAACGCUGGCGGCGUGCCUAAUACAUGCAAGUCGAGCGAACAGACGAGGAGCUUGCUCCUCUGACGUUAGCGGCGGACGGGUGAGUAACACGUGGAUAACCUACCUAUAAGACUGGGAUAACUUCGGGAAACCGGAGCUAAUACCGGAUAAUAUAUUGAACCGCAUGGUUCAAUAGUGAAAGACGGUUUUGCUGUCACUUAUAGAUGGAUCCGCGCCGCAUUAGCUAGUUGGUAAGGUAACGGCUUACCAAGGCAACGAUGCGUAGCCGACCUGAGAGGGUGAUCAGCCACACCGGAACUGAGACACGGUCCAGUCUCCUACGGGAGGCAGCAGUAGGGAAUCUUCCGCAAUGGGCGAAAUCCUGACGGAGCAACGCCGCGUGAGUGAUGAAGGUCUUCGGAUCGUAAAACUCUGUUAUUAGGGAAGGACAAAUGUGUAAGUAACUAUGCACGUCUUGACGGUACCUAAUCAGAAAGCCACGGCUAACUACGUG
RNAcentral lists this ribosomal RNA (497 nucleotides) under uncultured bacterium. Its description in RNAcentral is "partial 16S ribosomal RNA". It matches the Rfam family "Bacterial small subunit ribosomal RNA", at positions 28 to 507 of the family's 1533-position model. The record is from RNAcentral.